UUAACUGGAAAAUGUCGACUUACGUUCCCAAGCCAUCGCGCGACAACGUGUACCGGUUCUUCUUCACGGAGGGCGUGAUCGCGUGCAAGAAGGACCGCAUGGGCACCUGGACGGGCACCCUCGGCGGCAACACCUUCACGGUUCCGUGCAUUCAGGUGAUGCAGUUGAUGCGCUCUCUGAAGAGCCGCAACCUGAUCAAGGAGCAGUACGCGUGGCGCCACUACUACUGGACGCUCAACGACGAAGGUAUUGCGUACAUGCGCAGCUACCUGCAUCUCGCUCCGUCUGCGAUGCCGAACACGCAGAAGCCGAGCAGCGUGAACUUCGAGAAGGUGACAGAGGGCCGCGGCCGCGGUCGUGGCCGUGGUGGCCGCGGACGUGGCGAGGGCCGUGGCCGCGGGCGUGGUGAGGGCCGUGGCCGUGGUCGUGGCCGUGGCUUCGGUGGCGAGCGCACGAACUACCGUGCCGCUGCCGCUGCAUCGGAUGGUGAGGCCGCCCCAGCCCCGGCUGCGGAGUAAGUGACCAGUGCGCGAUCGCACAAACUACCUGUGUGUGUGCGAGAGGACCGUCUUCCAUUAACAAUGUAGGACAUGCCAUGUGUGCCAGCAUUGCUUUUUUUAAGGUUUCUUUCUCUUGUUUGAUGCGGUGCCGCAUCACUUAUUUCG
This 665-nucleotide unclassified non-coding RNA is filed under the name Leishmania donovani. RNAcentral's name for it is "gene:LdHU3.36.1390(CDS-product:40S_ribosomal_prot ein_S10_putative)". Lineage: Eukaryota; Euglenozoa; Kinetoplastea; Trypanosomatida; Trypanosomatidae. The record is from RNAcentral.